UGUGUUUUUUCCUGCGACGGAAGAACCGGUUCAGCCGCGGUGUCCCGGGGCCGCAACUACUGCCUUUCCAAAGGCGCAGGCGGGUGAAACGGGCGCCUAUCCCGGGGUCCUGAAGCCCUUCUGGGCUCCACGUGGUCUGGAGGUUCUGGCGGUGCGCACCUCUAGAUCAGGCGGCUGCGGCGGAGGCAGAGAGAAGGGCAGGAGAGUCUAAAGACGGCUGCAGCAGUGAGCAGUGUGACACCUCUCAGGACCCUGACUCCACAUCCCUAGCAGGGCAUCCUGCUGCCUUUGUACCUGAGCAUUCUGCUGUGCCUCUGCCCAGAGGACUUGGGAUGGCUACGUGUUACCUGAACAAAACAUUCCGAAUGGUUUUUGCUUUCUGCAGGACCCAAGGUAGUAACGAAGAGCCAAGCCUCCUUUUGUCCAAUGCAGAGAGGUAGAGAGAAGGGCAGGAGAGUCUAAAGACGGCUGCAGCAGUGAGGUGGAGAGGAGAGCUGGAUUGUCGAAAGAUGGCUGUGGCAGGGAGGCGAGUGAUUCAUUACGCCGAGGUCCUUUUCACAGGUGGAGAGAAGGACAGGAGAUCUGAAAGACAGCCGUGGACAUGAGACCGAAAAACAAGGACCCUGACUCCACGUCCCCACCAGGGUGGACAAUCUGGCAUCGUGCUGUUACAUCAGAUCAAAGGGGCACAUUUGGCCCAGCUGGUGUAUGCUAACCUCUCACAGUGGGAAUGCUCCUUGGUGUACAGCUUGUGGAAGCAAGAGGUUGAUGAUGAGCUACUGUUACCGUGACUACCCACGGUCCACACUGCACUUCACCUGACGGGUGUCUCGAGGGCAACAUUUCAGGUCGUCAUGGAUUUCCCAGCGACCGAUUUACUAAUGAGGACCCGGCAGCUUUUGUGCAGUGCACAGAGGUAGAGAGAAGGGCAGGAGAGUUUAAAGACGGCUGCAGCAGUGAGCUCGUGAUGAACAUUGGAACCUGGACCAUGGGCUCUCCAGCCCCAGUGGGAGACAUCAAGAGCAAUGAAUACAACCUGAGAUGCCCAGAUACAGCAGCGCACCCUGCCUUUUAGCUUGCUGAGUGUUGUUAAGGGUUAAAAUGUAGACUGGGUGCUUCUGAUGUCUGUAAUAAAAUCAGUGUUUCCUCUGUUGUUGCUGCUUCUUUGAAAGAUACUGCUCGGUCUCUCAACACGAAAGAAUCCAGCAGAACCAAUUUUUUUUUAAAAGAUAGGGCAUUAAAUUAAUCUAUUCACCACAAAACUACCAGAUUCCCACAGGACACUGGUAAAUUUAAUAAAUUGGUUUAUUCUUGUCACAUAUAUGGAGAUACAGUGAAAAACUUUGUUUUGCAUGCCGUUGAUACAUCGAGGUAGUACAAGGGUAAAGCAAUAACAGAAUGCUGAAUAGAGUGUUACAGUUACAGAGAAAGUGCAGUGUGUCGUGAUGGCCUAAACAGCCACACAGGAGCUGUAACUGGGAGCUAUAAAAGUCUUUAUUCAACCGUAGAUAUCCUGGAGAGAAUCUCGUUCUCCUUG
Pristis pectinata (smalltooth sawfish) is the source of this 1537-nucleotide long non-coding RNA. RefSeq lists it as uncharacterized. The record is from RefSeq and is a predicted model, not a curated record. Lineage: Eukaryota; Metazoa; Chordata; Chondrichthyes; Rhinopristiformes; Pristidae. The transcript has 11 exons.